GGAUAACCGUAGUAAUUCUAGAGCUAAUACAUGUAUAAAGUCUUGUAGACUGCAUUUAUUAGAAUGAAAACCAUAGGUUUCGGCCUAUUCGUGAGUAAUAAUAACUAAUCAUAUCGUAUGCUUAUGUAACGAUGUGUCUUUCAAGUUUCUGCCCUAUCAGCUUUCGAUGGUAGUGUAUUGGACUACCAUGGCAGUAACGGGUAACGAAGA
Molecule: ribosomal RNA, 210 nt
Filed under: Blastocystis sp. subtype 3
Lineage: Eukaryota; Bigyra; Opalinata; Blastocystidae
Description: partial 18S small subunit ribosomal RNA
Rfam family: Eukaryotic small subunit ribosomal RNA
Source: RNAcentral